UUAUCAAACCUAGCAAACGUGAACAGUGAUGCAACUGUUGUUGGACACUGCACAAGUAUUAAGAUAGAAAACACUUACUUGGAAUGACUCUAAAUGCAGCUUAGUGUCUGUGUCUAAAUUUUAUGCAUUUAUAAAAUUAGUUCACAAUAAAAAAAAAAAGAAUUUCACCAGCUUUAUCCUGUCAUGAAUUACAGCUCAGUGUCUUAAUCAUACAAAGGUUUUAUUUGACUCCUCUACUUAAUAGGGCGAGGCAGGAUGUCUCAACUAUUCUUCCUUUCUUCUUCACGUUUAGGACACAUUCUCAAGUCUGAUUUGACAGGUGACGGGCGUCUUGAAUAUAUGGCAAUAAAACGACUGUGUGACUGGUUGCUGAUGUGUUUUAGCAGCCACUAAAGAGCUUCAUCAGUUGCGUAAAUCCUUCACUCACAAUGUCACCGAUUCGGAGUAAAAAUGUAAGCUUUUAACAGGAGAACAAAGCUCUCUCUCUUUCUCUCUCUUUACACCUGCCAUCACCUCUUCUUUAUUCACAUUACUGAGAUGUAGGAGACAAAGCUGGCAGAAAACCUGAUCUGCUGGAGAUGAGAAAGCCGCUGAUAAGCAGCAGUGUCAUGGAAAUCAUAUCUGCGGUUUUGAAGGCAAAUUUCAUCUCCGCUUCAGAGGACUUUGUGCUUUCCUUGAUUCUGUCCUCUAGUUCUGAGACCAAAGCACUUGCGGAUUGCAUGCAUAAUGUUUAUUUGAUACACGUCCAGCACGGACGCAGUUAUUCUCAUGCAACCGGUUGCGUCUGUGAGAAGAGCUUAUCUGAAGUCACUUUAGGUUCCUGUGCUCCGAAAAUAACGAACAAAUCUGAAAACUCAGUGGGCGACAUUUUAAGAAUCUUCUGAUGUCACCCGGCUGAGAAAAAGGACACACAGAUAAAUAAUACCUAUUUUUGCAGCCUAUGAGCACAAAUCUGCAAACUAACCUCUUCUGCCUCCGUCGCUAUCUCCCACCAACAUGCAAGUCCUCAGUAAUUUCUCAUCAUCUUUCCUCUUUGUCCUUAAUGUUGGAGGAUGAGCCAAAUCUAUAAAGCAGCUAGAAGGCAGCGGAGCCUGUCAACUCCAGUGAGCAAGUAAGUAAACUUUAUUUAUAUAGCGCUUUUCAAAAAGGCAGCGCUUGUAAAGUGCUUCACGGUUGAUAAAAUGCAUAAUAGUACACAGCACGAAAACAGCAAGUAAAAAAUACAAUUUCUAAAUGGAAACAGACACUCAACAAUAAGAAGCAAUACAAACAAACAAAACAACAUUGAAAGACAAAUAAAACCAAUAGGAACCGCAGAGCAACAAAACUUAGAAAAACACCAGCCUAUACAAGUGAUUUUUUAAAAGUUUUUUAAAAUGUGGUUCAGACUCAGCUGACCUGACGGUGAGGGGGAGGCGAUAGUGUUGGAGUUAAAAUGGUAAAAGCACAGUUCCCUGUUUGUUUUGAGCCGGGACCGUGGGACACUCCGAGUAAUGUUGGCGCAGAGUAUUGAGUACCUCUGUCCACAAAACCACAAAAACAACUUAAGCUUAACACUGCACUGCCUCUAUUGGCAUAAUGUUUCAUUCAGAGGCUCUUAGAAAUCCAGCACCAUCACUCUGUGGGUAAACAAAGGCUCACAGUUGUAGUCUUUUGUAUGCUGCAUUUGGUUAAUGUAGGGUUUCAAAUAAUGAUUAUUUCACUGCUGAUUAAUCUGCCAAUUAUUUCUUGGAUUCAUCGUUUGGUCUGUAAAAUGUCAGGAAAUAGUGAAAAAUGUUCAUCACGAUUAUCUGAAACCCAAGUUGAUGUCAUUAAAUGUUUUCAUCCGACCAACAGUCCCAAAGAUAUUCAGUUUACUGUCACAUACAAAACAAAGAAAGGCAGCAAAUCCUUUAUCAGUUUAAAGACUAUUUGAUUAUCAAAUUAGCUGCAGAUUAAUGUAGUCUUCUGUCAGUUGACUAAUUGUUUAAAUGUAAAAAUACUCAAAUUUGGAUCAUGUUUACAAGUAUUCACAGAGAGUCAAAUCUGAAGUCUUAAAAAAAUAUGUUUGAAGUUUCAUGAAUACAUAACACCAUUUAAUUCUCCUCUCUUUUCUCAUCUCUCAUCCCUUCUUCCUUUAGACAUAAAUCCUUGAACCCUAAAACAAAUCUUGCAUUUAGUUACAAUAAUUCAUUCGCAUCAAGCACAUCAAACGAGCGCCUUCAAGUAAACAUAACGUCUGAACAGAUUCUUCCACUCGUUAAGCUUUAAGACAUUGGUGUUAAAUUGAGUGAAGUUACAAAUCCUUUAUGAUUUUGUCACGUUAAGUCUGAAGUGUUUCCAUCCUCCACAACUCUAGUGACGGCUAUAUGAUUGAUAACUAGCGCUCAAGUGAAGAAAAAGUCUUAAAAUUGACUGAACGUGAUCCACUUUCAUGACAGACCGAUCUAUCAUUUAUAGAAAGGCUGUAAGGAACAUAUGAACAAUAUACAAACAUAUCAAAAGAGAAUCUCCAUCCACAAAAUCCAAACUGUGGAACUUCCUUGUGUCUCUCUGUAGGAUUUGUUCAUUCAUAGUUAUUUCUAAAAAUAUAUUUCUGUGGUUUGAGUUAAAAAUGUGCGCACACACACACCUGUGAACACACACAUACGUUCAUGUUAAGACACGGUUCAAGGACUGCUGCUGGCUGAAAGAUAUCUGAGGUUUAAUUCAGCUAAGGCCGUAAUAAGACACUCAUUUGCUCAGUGCCAGUUGACUGGAACAAAAAGUCAAUUCUCGGUGUGUUUAGUUUCUCUCCCCGGCGGCAUUGAUCAUUAUUAGGAUCCCUUUCUUUUCUCUUUAUCUUCAUGAGUCUGCCAGAGGAACGCAGGAGUAUUCACAAAGAAACAGAUGCAGCUGCAUCUGACAAGACUGACAGGAGAAGACCCUUUUCUUGCACAUUGAUUUCGUUCUUCAUUUCACAAGCUGCUGGUGCCAGCUGACUGUGAAGCAGAAGAGCCCACAGGUUGCAGCACCAUCACUCAUCUACGGUUCAACAAGUAUGAAUCUCAGUACCAUCACCAUUGUAGCCUUUGAGCAAGCUUUAUACCUGGCUUUGAAUAUUCAGAAACAGAUGUCAGUUACAUUGACCAGCUUUCAUGGUGUGCAAAAUUCCCAUUAAAUAUUCAAGGAUAGCAGAAAGCCUGUAAAGGUGUCUAUGGUAGGCCCUCCGCAAAUAUUUAGUUGCUAAUUUUAAAAACCUAAAUGUGAUUCCAUUCAUGUCAGUCAUUUCCUUGUGAAUUUCAGUUUUAUUCUGUUCUUUUCUUAUCCUGCAACAUGUUUCAGCAUCUCAACCGGCGAAGCUGGCAGUGACAUAGAUGUCUUGAACACUGUCUUGCUAACUUGCAGCGCGCAAGUCCCCACAUCAGCCGCUCACCCCUGAUGUUGGAAACGAAAAGUACUCUGCAUAAUUUAUGCAGCAUAGCAUCGCCUGAGAGCGAGUAGGCGAACAUGCUAAAGCAGAUCCAAUAAAUUAGACAUGAGGACUUCUCAGAAAACAAACGCAGUGGUAAAAUGGAAAGUACCCACCAAAGCCCAAAUUGGAAAACAAACAAGUGGCGGCUGCUCAAUCAAGCCCCCGCUGGAAAGGAGCAGCUCUAAAUUAGUCCACAUUACAGCUAUAUUGUUAAGCAAUGUUCAUCAGCUUAAAUGCUCUUCUCUCAAGUACAUGAACUGCCCACCUACUUGCCACCCCUCCCUUUGACCCACUAAACUGGGCUUAUACAAAAUGACUUCACAGUUUGCUGACUGCUGCUACUGUACAGCACUCGCAGUUGUUGUUAUUUAUUCUUAUUCAGUGAUGCAAUUAUGGUCCAUAUACACGUUCUGCCUGUGCCUCAGCUCUUGAUGUUGCCCAAAGCCUAAUUACUACGGGUAUAAAGCACACCAUUAUCUCUCCACUGUGUUUGUGAAUACCAGGAAAAAGGAAAACAACAUUUCCUGUUGCACAGGAUUAGGGAUGGUUUGUGAAGAUGUGGUUGAUUGACUGCUGUAAACCUAACUGGUCAUUAUUGGGAUGUUUCAGCUUCAAUAUAAUCUUUCCAUAUUACAGGGUAGCCACCAAGUGGCACUGUAUGCUUCAGUUUUUCUUUGGAAAAUCAGUAGGGGCUGUCUUUCAUCUAAAGCUGAUUGUUGUGUGCAAUGCUAUUGCAACACUUGCAUGAAAUAAAAGAGGGGGAAAUCCAGAUGGGAAGAGUUAAUCCCACCCAUGCUCCACUGUUUUGAAAAACACAUUGAGACUGUUAUAAUAAACAUGUUAGAUUUCUGAAGCCAUCGCUGAGCUACCUGUCGUAGCAAAUCACCAUGUGCCAUCGCCUUCACACCUUGAAAGAUAAUAAUGUUGGCACGCUGGACCUCAUCAGCUACCUCUGUGCCACACACACGAAAAAUACAUAAAAGAUCUUUCCUGUCACAUAGCAACACUCUUUUACCUGUUUACGCACUGACGGACGUCAUGCACAAUCAGCUCUCCCCGUAGCAACAGAUCAGACAGACCCAGUGACCCAUCAAUAAUUCAAGCUACUGUACAAUGUGCCUGGUGCCAUAGCCGCUCUCCCAUCAUUACUGACGAGGAAGAACAGGGGGAAGUGGGGGGGGGGCUGGUGGGAUGGAAAGAGGAGCAGCGGUUGGAGAAGAUGUCAGGUCCACUUCUCAUUAGGGCCAUGACGGAGUCUCUCAGGCCUGGUGGAGGAGGACAACAGGCAACUUCUGGCCCAGUCAGCCAGACAGAAGAGCUAACGGGUCCCUUCUUGUGUGGGAACCGCUAUACAAUACUGCAAGAAACUGCAGGAUAUCUGAGAGAUCUUGUUAAACCCUAAGAGAGACAAACUGUCUCAGACUGUCUGUCAUUUACAUGCAAAUGGAUGAGACGUUCACAACUCUGCGUGGGUGAUGGAUUAAAGUUUUCAUAUUCAUUUUUGUUAUAUCCUAUCAGCAACAGAUUCUAAUACAAAGCUAAAACUUAAAAGCCCUGCUAGUUUCAACCAGACUCUGCAAUAUUCAUUACAGUCAUCACUAUGAGUGUUUGACGAAACAAAGUUGUAAUAAUGUGAAUAAAAAUAAAGUUUGUCCUUAAA
Thunnus maccoyii (southern bluefin tuna) is the source of this 5093-nucleotide long non-coding RNA. RefSeq lists it as uncharacterized. NCBI's taxonomy places the organism in Eukaryota, Metazoa, Chordata, Actinopteri, Scombriformes, Scombridae. The transcript is spliced from 2 exons. The record is from RefSeq and is a predicted model, not a curated record.